Schistosoma mattheei is the source of this 45-nucleotide non-coding RNA. The record is from Rfam. Lineage: Eukaryota; Metazoa; Platyhelminthes; Trematoda; Strigeidida; Schistosomatidae.
AUCCAGCUGACAAGUCACAAAUAAGACGAAACGCGCGUCCUGGAU